UGCGUCCUCACUAUCAGCUUG
This 21-nucleotide non-coding RNA is filed under the name Caenorhabditis elegans. Lineage: Eukaryota; Metazoa; Nematoda; Chromadorea; Rhabditida; Rhabditidae. The record is from RNAcentral.